RNAcentral lists this microRNA precursor (112 nucleotides) under Lepisosteus oculatus (spotted gar). RNAcentral's name for it is "Danio rerio miR-25 stem-loop (ENSLOCG00000020254.1)". The stretch from base 19 to 102 matches the Rfam family "mir-25 microRNA precursor family". The record is from RNAcentral. Lineage: Eukaryota; Metazoa; Chordata; Actinopteri; Semionotiformes; Lepisosteidae.
UUCAGCCAAUCUGGGACUAGCCAGUGUUGAGAGGCGGAGACUUGGGCAAUUGCCGGCAAUCCCAGAGGGCAUUGCACUUGUCUCGGUCUGACAGUGCUGGCACUGCGCGGCA